Molecule: long non-coding RNA, 35468 nt
Filed under: Podarcis lilfordi (Lilford's wall lizard)
Lineage: Eukaryota; Metazoa; Chordata; Lepidosauria; Squamata; Lacertidae
Rfam family: tRNA (bases 6580-6637)
Source: RNAcentral
CAUAGAUCCACACACAGAGCUUCCUUGGAUAACCUCAGAGCCUAGGCUGGACAGUUCACGGUGCUGUUUCCCUUAAGGUAGAUGGGUCCUAAGCUGUCUUUAUAAGUCAAAACAUAAGCCUUGAAUGCCCAACGAUAAACUAGCAGCCAGUGCAAAGUCAUUAAGGAUCACACACUGUUAUAGGGUCUCCUGCCACAAGACUCAUUAAGAUAAUAGCUGCUGUAUUUUGCACCAGUUGUAGUCUCCAGACCACCUUCAAGGAAUAUGUUCUUGUCGUUGUUGGCAUUUGUCUGUCUCGAGAGACAAUAGAGUGCGCCUCCAGGGGUCAAAUCAAACUGUUGCACUAGCAGCACCAAAGUGACCUCCUGGGGCACAAGCCUGGGCAUUGUGUAUGGAGGUCCUGGGCUGCCCAGACGCCUCACUGGUGUGGACCAAAGGGAAGCAGAGCAAUAUGUUUGGCACCAGCUUGGCUGCAGGAGUUGCUGGAAGGAGACAUGCAAGGUGCCAUCCAACUGUCUUGGGGACUCUACUCCAAGUUUGUGUAGGGUUUACUCCUUAGCCUUUUCUUCUCCUGAAGAUAUCCUGUAAAGCAGUGUAGGUUUAGGAUCAGAGUUUUCCUUCUUCUAGAUGUGAUGAACCCCAUCUGCCCCUCACUUCCCUCUACAUCAGAUGCCCUUGGGAAGCUCACAAGCAGAGUUGAGAUGAAUUCCCCACUGUGCUAAAUUCAGCAAAAUUUCAGAAUUUGUAUUCAUCUUUUUUUAUUUUAAAUCAAGUUUUUUCAAGCUUUAUGUUUUAUCUAGACAGAUAUAUGUCUGAAAUCUCAUAGCUUUAUCAUUUUUAAAGCUUUUUAGCUCUUCAUCAGUACUGAUCCAAGUACUGAUAUCUAUAGAUAUUUUUUACAUCCUGGGUAAGUAAGAAAUCCUUUUAGGCUGAACUUUAUAAAGCUAUUGUUUUCCCUUUCAGAAGUCUUAAGUUGUCGGGAUAUUAACCUAUUAUUACUAUUUCAUCAUACCCAGAAAAAAUGGGAACACAGAUCACUGCUGUUAUUUGUCUCAAAAUGGUUCGAUUUGGAUUGUUUUGGACAGAAGCACUGAAUGAUGCUAAUAUUCUAUUCAACUAUAUCAUAUACAGUGCUCUGAUAGACUGCUAACCACUCCAUCUUAUUUAUAGAUAAAUACAUUUUGUUAUAUAACACUCACUCCUCUUUCCCAAACAUCUAGUUGACUUUGUUCUCAUCAAAUGCAAUCUUGGUGAAUUCUGCAAGGAGUUAUUUUAGUGGUCAGAUAUCACUUUGUUAUAACAAUAUUUAUUAGGGCAAUGACUGCUUUUCUGAUAUUUGUAUUUCCCCGAGUUCCUUUUACACUGUUUCAUACAAACUUCUGAUGCUUUCUUUCAAGCAAAAAGGUUCUUUUUUAAAAAAAAAACACCAGCAGGAUUUCCCUGGGAUACUUUUUUCAUUUUAAUGCUGGCAAGAUAUGUGAACCUCAAGGUGCAAAUUCCUCCUUUGUAAUGCAUGCUUUGGUACCUCUUUCAUGUUUUUCAAAUUCUCUCUCUUUCUCUCCCUCUCUAUUCUCGGCUUUUCAUAUGUAUGAAGAUGAGAUUUAUACCUAGGCACUGGGCUGAGGUGUUGGGGCGGGAGGGAGGGAGGGAGGGAGCAAGCCCGGGAGGCGUGGAAAAGCAGCUAGUUAGACCAAAGGCAGCUGCUGCUCUUCCAGGCCCAGUUGCUGCUGUGAAUAUCAGAGGCUGGGAAGAGGCUGUAAACAUGGGGAAGGAAGAACCCAUUGAACUGAAAGAACAAACUCUCCGGACCUGUCUGACACAGAGGUCAGGGGGUCACUGGAGCCCGGUGGAGGCAGUGUAGCAGAUUGGAAGCUCGUGAUGCCCCCUCCAACAUCAUUUAGACAAACAAGCAGAUGGCAGGUGUCAGUGGUGACAAAGAGCCAUCUGUACAGCGAGGACCGUCCCCUCCAUUCUCUCACAGGCUACUUCAUUAAACCCUCACUUCAGAGUGCCUAUGCCAUACCCUUUAGCCAAUGGGGCCUCUCUAAUAGGACACUUUUUUAAAAGAGAGAGAGAGAACUGCCUGCAUUCUGCUCCCAGCUACUCAGAGACAGCUUAUUUUCGUGCUUUAUUUCUUCCAAAAAGGAAAGAGAGAGGUUAUUAAAAAUAAAAACAAAACAAUAAACCCAAGCCAAGGAAAUGUUUGUUGCACAUGGUACAGGAUCAUCUGUGAGCCCCCAAACACAGGUUUCUUUCAAAAGAUACACUUGGGCACCCUUGGUUUAUGCAGUGAAAGAAUUAAAGCCGAAGCCAGUUGCCAAACAAUGAAGGAAUCUGCCUUUGUGGAGGAUGUUUUAGCUCUGGAAGAUGGAGGCUUUGCUUAAGACUUCCCCUGUCAGCUUGCUUAAGGGACAUUUUUUCCCCCUCUGCUUUUUUUUUUUUUUUAAUACCCAGCAUUUAUCUUUGUGUGCCUUUCCUUUAGAAAAAGGUGUUGUUAACACUUGGGUUUUUAAGGACUGGCCUUUUGUUAAUACGCAUGUGCAUACCUCUUUGGCUCUGUCAGAAAUGAAACAGGAUGGGAAAGAAAAAACGCUUAUGGCCACAGCAACUUUAACUUGGCAUUAACUCAGUCAGGAGCUGUUCUGAAAGAAUUCAACUUGACUCGCCUGAGUUGAAAUCCAUCUGCGCACUUUCUGCUGUUGUUUUGAGCCAGCACCUCUCCAGAACGGGGCAGUGGGGGGAGGUUAGGCCUUUUCUUUUUAAACAUAUGGUGCAGAGGGUGUGGAGACGAAAGCAAUGGGGCAGGAGGGGGUGGGAAUUGGGAGCUUCUGGAAAAUUUCCAAGCCACCCGCACCUCUCUGCCCAGCCAUGCUUCUUUAGCCUCCCCUGCAGAUCCCUGUGGAAAAUGCCACUGGAAUGUUUAGCUACAUAUCCACCCUUAUGGGUAAUUUCUGGGUUAUUUAGCACCCCCCCCCCGCUUUUGUUCAUCAAAAUUAGAAAGUACAGUGUAUACGAUGGACAGUGUGAGAAGGACCGUGCCACAUCGUUUUGUGUGGCUGUUCAGAAAAGCUAUAUAUGAAAACUCACCAUUUGUGACAAUGGAAGGCAAUUUAGAUCUGGCUAGAUUGAAUUCCUUCCCCCACCCCCUUCUACAUAUAGGGGCCUGACUCCCUGUAAAAUCUUCCCUUGCUGGGGUGCUUUUGGAGAAUACCGUACUGGCAGUUGCAUUAACAAUUGGAAAGCCACAUGAAUUUUUCAGAAGAAGAGUAUUUUAUUUUAUUUAUUAAAUUUGUACACAGCCCUACCCCGUGGAUCUUAGGGCAGUUCACAGCAUAAUGCACACAAGCAAAAUUCUAGAUCCCUGCUGGUUUCUUCUGUGCCUGUGUUACCCCUGAAAGGCUGAGAUGGAGUUUCAGGUUGACUUCCACAACUCCCACAACUGCUAUUUAAAGUUUAAAAAACAAAUGUGAACUGCCAAAUGCCGUCUUUAACGUGAUGUGUAGUUUGGCCCUCGUUUUAGCAAUCUUAGGGCACAGGAAGGUCUACAUUUCAGGGCAUGCCAUAACAGAUACUGAAGAGCUGAAGUAUUGAAUCUGGGACACUUGGAGAGAACAUUGAGAGAGAAAGAUUAUUCCAUUAUUUCACUGUAAUACCACUGAUUCUGUAUCUAUUAUAGGAUGCUUCCUCCUAUACACGCAUUGCCUUGCUGAAGGAAAUGCACAAAUAAUUUUGUUUCAGGGUAGGUUUUCAAAUCUUUCAAAUGUGGAUUCCAUGGGAGGCAGGCCAGAUUUAGCAGUUUAACAGAUUUCAUUCAAGGGAGCAUGGAAAACAAAUAAAUAUCAAUGUAAGCUUAUUGGUGUGAGGGGAUUACUUCUGCUAUGAACCUUAGUUUAUUCGUUUUAAAAAAUCUUUUUAUAUAGAAACUUCCAAAAUAGUAGAUCUUACCUCCUACGCCUAUCCCAUCCUAGAUGGUAUUAGACUCACUAACUGCUUCAGUGGACAAAUCUAUUAGUCAUAUCACACUUGGACUACUGUAAUUCGCUGUUUGUAGGGCUCCCUUUGAUGACUAUCCAGAAUCUUCAAUCAGUACAAAAUGUGGCAGGGAAGCUGCUAACUGGUGCAUGGUAUUGGGAUCAUAUUACUCUGGUGCUGAAAAAUCUGCUCUGUUUGCCAAUUGUUUUCUUGGCAGGAUUCAAAGUGCUGCUUUUAAGCUUUUAAGCCCCAAAUGGCUUAGGGCCUGGCUAUAUAAGGGCCUGCCUCUCUUUUUAUGAACUUACCUGGUUACUGAGAUCUGCAGGAGACAUGGGAGUAGCUGGGGGGGGGGCAGGAAAGGGCAGCUGCCCCCCUAAAUCAAUAAAAUUCAAUAAAAAUACAUAGCAAACUGAGGUUCUGCCUCCCCCCCCAAGAAAAGGUCUGUCCCCUCUAACAAAAAUCCUGGCUAUGACCAUGGCAGGAGACACUAUUGGGCGGAUAUGAUCACUUACAAAAGUCCAUUUGAUGAGCAUGUGUGAGGGGACUUCCUCCUUUGUUGAUUCCAGGUUGUAUCUCCCUUAAAGGUAAAGGUAAAGGGAUCCCUGACCAUUAGGUCCAGUCAUAGCCGACUCUGGGGUUGUGGCGCUCAUCUCACUUUACUGGCUGAGGGAGCCAGCAUACAGCUUCUGGGUGAUGUGGCCAGCAUGACUAAGCUGCUUCUGGAGAACCAGAGCAGCACACGAAAACACUGUUUACCUUCCCGCCGGAGCGGUACCUAUUUAUCUACUUGCACUUUGACGUGCUUUCGGACUGCUAGGUUGGCAGGAGCAGGGACCGAGCAACGGGAGCUCACCCUGUCGCAGGGAUUCGAACCGCCGACCUUCUGAUCGACAAGUCCUAGGCUCUGUGGUUUAACCCACAGCGCCACCCGCAUCCCUCUCUGUAUCUCCCUUCUGUUUCUUCAAAUCGUGGUUAAAGAAUGUGAAAAUGUAAUUGCCACAAUGACGAACAAUAUCAAAUCCCGCCUAAUAGAAUGCCCCAGAUUAAAGAACCUUGAUUGAGUAGGCUGUAUGUUCUGUGAGGGUUUUUUUUGGGGGUGGCUUUUCUGUGCUUCUUCAGUCAAGAACAUUUCCCCUGCUGCACUCGCUGCAGUUUCAACCUGGAAGAUCUGGUCCCCCUAGUCUCUUCGUCUCCCAUCUUCAUUCCUUCCACCCCCCUUUUUUUAUUUGUUUAAUUUAAAUAAAUUACAGGAUGCUCUUCCUUCUCAAUCAAUGGCUGUCUAGGGAAGAACGGGAACAGAAGGAAUAUUACUCAAAGUUUCCUGAGCUCUUGUGAGCCUGCAGUCUGGCUGUCAGCUUUCUGGCAGAUUUAUGAGGACGGCCGUGACCGGCUUGAAAGGGCAGUGAGGGGAAAAGAAGGGAUCCCAGCCCAUUAGUAAUUCCCUGCAGGAAAGUGACAGGUCUGAUGACAUGCAUGGAACACACAUUGCAGAAGAUGGGCAGUGGGAAACAUUCCCAUGCAAAAGAGCAUUCAGGACACUUCUGGCUGGAGGUUGUUUUCUCACUAAUGACCCAAUUUGAGGCCACCCAUCCUUUACAUUGGAAAACCCAACAGCACUGAGGUCAAUACCCCAAAAUGGGACAGAUACAAAACUCAUAAGCAUGAUAUAUGUAUGAAUAAUGGGCAGGCAGGAUAAAUAGUUACUGGCAAAUUGUGAAAGCAUUAGUAAACCAGCACAAUCAGACCUCCAAGUGAACUAUUAAUAUCUUGAUAUAUAAUCAAAGAGAAAAAUCUUUUCAGGGUCUCAGUCUAUUGAUGGUAAUGCUCCCAUUGUCUCCUGUGUUGCAGCACAUCAUCUUUAGACAUGCUGGAUUCCCUUCAGAAUAGCAACUAAAAUGAUGGUUUAAAAAUUAAAUCACAUUGGGGGGUUUUGGUACAGACAGUGACACCACAAUGAAACGAGAUCUACACAGGGCUUUGUGUGCCGUGCUUUAAGAAUCAGCCAAUCAAAAUUCUGUGCCAGGACUGUUCAAAUUCUAAUCCAUGAAAAGUUCAGUUCUGCAAAUUUCAUUUUAUUCCCUGCUCAUUUGCAUAAUUAUUUUGUUUCUGCAAGUUACAGGAAGGAGAAAAAGGAGGUAUGAUGGGCACGCAAGCUUUGCUUUCUAAUUAGUGGAAAUCUUAUUCAACCACUCCUCAAGUCUCUAGGAUGUCACAAAGCAUUACACACAUAUUUACAUUUUUUAUCUCUACCACCCUAAGGACUAGAAACUUAAAAAAAUAAAAUUUAAAAAUGAAAGCUGAGAUGUUCAGAGAGCUGGAUUCAUACAUUCAGCGCCUUUUCAUCCUUUGUGGAUAGGGUGAUUCCAUGUUCAGAGGCUGAGAAAAGGAAGACUUAGUCAACCUUUUAGGUUACUUGAAUUGAACUUAAGACCAAUGUACACAACCAAUGUAGCCUCCUUGCACCAGCUGGUUCCCGUCCCCCCUUCUGCUCAUGGUGGAUCCUUCUCACAGCAUACAGUACAUUUGGCUCAUUUCUGGUAAAGCAAGUGAAGUACUUUGGUACUUUAUCCCAGACUUCCUCAGUGUGCACCACAAUGGUAUGCAACAUAGUUCAGUUGGUAAAGCAUGAGGCUCUUAAUCUCAGGGUUGUGGGUUUGAGCCCCACGUUGGGCGAAAGAUUCCUGCAUUGCAGGGGGCUGGACUAGAUGACCCUCAUGGUCCCUUUCAACUCUACAAUUCUAUUAUUCUAUGAUCCUAACUACAAGCUCUGCUCACUACAGACAGGUCCAACACCUCAGUCUUCUCCAUGAUAUAGAAGCCACUUUCUCCUCUCUGUGAAGGCUGGUGCUCAUUUUACAGUAUAUACUUCAGUAUGGGUAUCAAAGAACAGUACAUGAGCUCUAAACACACACACACACACACACACAGAGAGAGAGAGAGAGAGAGAGAGAGAGAGAGAAUUUUACAUGUAUACACUCUUCACAAUAAAAAGAAGCAAAGCCUGCCUUUUUUUAAAAAAAAAAAGUAAAGUUUACAUUCCAAAUAUUUGUACUUUAAAGGCCAAGAGCAUUUCUGCGAAAAAUAUGACCUGUAUAAAAAUUGAAUUUGAAAAAUAUUCUUCACAUGGGAAUAAAGAAAAGUUCCACCUUGUGCAUUUUGUGGACAGGGAUCUGCUCCCAUUCCCAAAGACAAACUGUAAAGUGAGAGUCAUCCUUGAGUUUCUGCCAGGGGUGGAGAUAAGGGAGCUGAGAUAACGUCCCCAUUCUCUCUAAUGAAACCUACACCAGGCAUUAAUGUUGCUUUUAUUCAACGCACGUGUGUUUAAUUGUACAAGCCUCCAUCUGUUGCAUGAACAAAGACGCAAAGACAUAGGAGAACUCUAAUCAAUCAGUCUUUUAUCCCCCCCAGCCCCCCCCCCCAGAUUAAUAACUAGAAUCAAAUAAAAUGAACAAGGCACAUUCAAAACAGGUACUCUUCCAAACCAAGUUUCCAGGCAGUCACAAAUUCAGUAACAAUGGUAACUGGCUCUCUACCAUGGCAGAUGUUGGUGUAUCGAGGAUGCCAGUUGAAGCACAAAAUGGCUCCAACGCACAUCUCAAUCUGAAAACCACUAGCCUGCAUCAAACAUAGUUCCACAUGAAUGUGCUUGGAAUCAGAUGAAAAGGCCACAACCCAGUGUAUAGUAGUGGUGCUUGCAAGGGUGUGCAUGUGGCCAUGUGUACAUGCACAACAAAGCUUUGUUCCCAACAGCAGCAGGUUGUGUUUCUAACUUGCUAAGCACCCGAGGAGCUGCUCUUGGGAGCAAAGAAUUAAAGAAGCCCUGCUGAGUCUGCAGCGCUUACUGUGCAACCGAGUUCACUGUUGGAUCAUGGCCUUCACUUGCUCAUCCUAAAUCAGGUACAUUCCUCAGUCUUGGCCUCAAAGAGUUGGCCUUCUGUCAUGUGGGCGAAAUACUCAGUCCGUUUGAUUUGUGGUAUGGCUUUUACCGCCUAGGAUGCAUGGGCCUGUAACCACUUAACCUGCAUUAUGUUGCCUAAAACCGAAAGCUGGAAACAAGCCGGAAGGGAAUGUUAGAGGAGAAAUGACAAUAUUUUCCUCCCUCUUGAAAGCAGCCCAAUCCGCUCGCAAAUAUCACCGCUUACUUUUUUCAAAGUACUAUCAGAUUAUUCUCAACUCCAUGCCACAUCUCUGUUCUUUCCAACGUGGCUGCUGUAUUGUCUAGAAGCGGGAUCUGUGAGCUCAGAUCUCUCACAGGUUGCCUUUUAAGCAAACCAGUGUUUGCUCAGCAUCAAAACUACAACUCAGUGCAGCUGUCAUGUUGCCAGAUUAACAGUAGUGACAGGUGGGGCUGUACAGGUGAGACUACGCUGCUCUCAUGGCUUCCUAGCGCUGUGCGUUGUUGCCAGUUGCAGGGGUGGUGGCAAGGCAAUGGGGAGUUUAGCGCCAAGCUACCUGGACCUAAUGGUCAGGGGUCCCUUUACCUUUACCCACUGCUUUGCCCCUCCCACUCUUGGUAACCACCAGCCAUGCAGGGUGUUGGAAGUCAGAAGAGCAAUGCAGCCUCACCCAUGCAGCUUUGCUGACUGCUACUGCAUACUACAAUUAACAGCAGAUUGACAUCCUCUUUUGCCUCUGGCCACCCUAGUUAUAGGUAGGAUGCCAUCUUUGGUGCUAGAUUUCCCCAGAUGUAUUAACCUUCCUUCUUGUCCACAACAAUGUCCAUGGUCAUGAAUAGAUUCCACCUACCUCCCCAUUGGUGGUAGAAAAACCACCAAAAAUGGGAAAGUGGAGAUAUAGCUAAGAAUGGAAGAAAAACAUUGGAGAUAAACUUGAUUAUUUUUGAAGUCAUAUUGUUAGUUAAGGAGUUAACUAGGCUUUGAUGCUGGUUAUCUAUCUCUCUGUCUGUCUGUCUGUCUGUCUAUGUAUCAGAAAAGCAGACGUGGGGAAGAGAGUUUGGAGUUAGAAACAGCAGUGGAAUGGUGUAUAACACUUUUCCUGAUGCAAGAUGCCUACUCCAAAACUGUAAGCAGGUUUUACUCCCAUCUGGAUUAAAAAUAUAUGUUUGCUAGCCCCCAAAGUAUAUGUGUCUGGGGUGGGGGGAACCUUGCAGACCAUUUGAAAUAUGAGACUUGUGGAUAAGGUUCAGACUCCUAAUUUGUGCUUCCGAAACUGGGACCAAUUCAGUUCAGACUGUUUCAGUCUGUUACACACUUUACCUUGGGUCCAAAUCAGAACCACAAUGGGAAAACUGAAGCUUUACACCUUCCCAUUAACUAUCUUGGGGCUAUAUACUAUAAAAUUGAUCACUAUGUUGACUAUCUUGGGGAAAGUAAUAAAUGGCUAUAACUUUUUUCUUUUUGGUAGAAUUGAAUGAAAUUUGCAGACAUGCCAAGUCUGCACAAUGAAUCUUCCAGAAACAAGGAUACCUGCCAGUCAUAAAAAUCACACCAUUUACUCAGUUUCAAUUAUAAAGUAAAUUGCAUGUCACAAGAUGUUUCAGCAAUAUGAUUGGCCAAUGUAAUGUAUAACAUUAAGUCAGUACUCAUGCUCUGCACACACAGUUUGGAAAGGCAUCAUCCCCCUUUUAAUAAACCUGUACAUGUAUGUACUUUUUCACUGGCAGCUUACAAUACCAGUAAUGAUUUUGGUCCAGGAUAAUUUAUUAGGAUUAAUGACAAACCCAUUUUAAUGAUCCUUGAUGGCACUUUGGUCCAUCAACUCGUCUCAACCGGUUAUUCAUGACCUUUGAUGAGUCUUGAACUAUGCAGUUAUUAAUCUCAGGCAAAUGAUCUGAAUCAAUGAAGUUUAAUUCAGCCUCUUAGGUAACAGAAUUGUCUGAUUGCCAUUCAUAGAAAGGGCUGUAAACAAAGAGAUGGGUUCUAAAUCACACACAAGUAAGCCAACCUUUCCAAUAUUAAUCCAUGUGAAGAGUAGAGCUUUAAAAUCUUUCUAAAUACUAAUGUGGAUUAAAACAACAACAACACCAAUACGUUGCUUGUCUUUGUCCCCUCUAGCCAGCAUCUUCCUCCAAUGCUGUUUCCUUCAUGCUCUCUUCCUGACAAUGUCUCUGCCUGAUACUGAGACAUGAGAGAGAUGAGAGACUGAAAUGCUGGUUCCAGAUUGUGCCCUAGGGAUCAUUAGAAUGAUCAUAGGUUGCCAACUCUUUUGGACCUGUAGGGACAUUGGCAAACCAGAAAUGUUAUUGUGGACACUGCAUACACCACAACCAAGCACUCACCCUACCCUAUUCUAUGAGCUAAAAUUAGAAUUUAAUUUAAACUGGGGGAGGGGGCCCUAUGUUCACCAGGGAAGGCCUCUGUGAGCACUGGAUUGGACUACAACAUGGCAACAUGGGUAGGCACAGCCAUAUGGUUACAGUUUUUUUCUGUUCUGUCUUGUUAAUCUUGAACAUGUGGUGUGGGUUUGACAUAUACAUACAUUAGAAAACAACUGCCCAAAACUUGGUUGAAUAUUUUUUGAGAGUAUAUGUGAAAUGUGCUCCUUUCAUUGUCUCCAUCAGCAUCUCCUCCUGUCCUGUAUUGUCUAUGAGAUGUUAGCACAUCUCCUUCCUGCCUCCAUGGCUCCCUGGUUUCCUCACCUUCUGGGCCUUUGGCUACCUUGCCUUUCAAACUUCCUCCUGCCUUUUGAAUUCCAGGCUCCUAUAAUGUCUACUCAGAAAUAUACACCAGGAAAAGCCUUGUGGCACUUUUACAAAUGUUCUUGUGGCAUAAACGUUUGUGGAUUUGAGCCCACUUUAUCAGAUGCAUGAUGGGUUAUCCUCAAUUCCCAGGCAUAUGCAUAUGGUGGUAAAGGCGGAAAGGCUGGUGUUAAAUAACAAUGGAACCCAAAGGAGAACCUGUGACAAUUCAGUAAGAGUUUAAAUGUGUGCAAAAUGACCCUCCACCGCAGCAGUAAUUGGUGAGAAUAAAAUCAUCUUAGCACUGCUGAGUAAAGUGACAAUGUUAAUAGAGUUUAAAUGAGUUCAGUAUAACUAACCCCCUGGUAAGUGUAUGGGAUUGUAGCCUGAGGCACACUCUCCUCCUGUCCCUAGAACCUCUACGAAGACCUGAAUAUUGGGUAAAUAUGAUGCACUCAUUUUGAAGAUGGGGCAAGGUUAACACAAGUCCUUAUACAACAGCAAAUUUUUUGCCAUCCCCUCCCCCUUUCAGAUACUCAAUUUUCAUUAUUCCCAUUCCUGAGGCAGUAACAUCAUUUAAGUAGUUAAUUUGUUCUGCUCUGUGAGAGCAGCAGCCUUGACACACAAAGCAAUCAGAGGUCAAGGACAACCCGAAAUUAAAUACAGGAGCCCUUGUGAUGAACCUCAGAUGAAUCUGGUGUUUUACGGAGUGGGCUGCCCCCUGGCAGGCUGCUGCCGUGUCCUCAUAAUUCCCAGUGAUAACUGAGCUUGUCAGUAAGAGCUCAGCAUCUCAUGGCAUCUGGCAAGGUGCACAGUGUGUUUUGAAGCUAUGCUGACAUGGAUGGUCCUGCCUAGAAAGAAAUAUUGUGGUUACUGAAGGUUACUGUGCUUCCGAAGUGCAAUGUCUCCAUUGUGUCAAACCGUAGUUAUGGAUGUUAAAGAGUCCUAAGACGGGAGUGUUAAGCAGACUGGAAAUGAAAGAAGUAGCUAGAUGAAUCCAUGGCUUGACUUAGGAUAUGGCAACUUCACUUAUGCACGGAUGAUGCAUAGAAUCAUGGAAUAGUAGAUUUGGAAGGGACCCUGAGGGUUAUCUAGUCCAACUGCCUGCAAUACAGGAAUCUCAACUAAAGCAUCCAAGACAGAUGGUCAUCCAACCUCUGCCUAAAAGCCUCCAAAGAAGGAGAGUCCACUACCUUCCAAGGAAGGCUGUUCCCCCGUUGAACAGCUCUUACUGUCAGGAAGGUCUUCCUGAUGUUUAGUCAGAAUCUCUUUUCUUGUAACUUGAAACCACUGGUUCAGGUCCUAGCCUUGGAAGCAAGGAAAAAAACAAGCUUGCUCCAUCCUCCAUGUGACAGUCCUUUAGAUAUUCAAAGAAGACUAUCAUAUCUCCACUCAGUCUCCUCCUUACAAUACUAAUCAUACACAACCAUUCAACAUAAGGCUUUCCAUACCCUAUUCAUCCUGGUCGCUUUCCUCUGCACAAAUUCCACCUUGUCUAUAGUACUCCAGGACACAGUAUUCCAGGUGUGGUCUGACCAAGGUAGAAAAGUAUGGGACUAUUACAGCUGGUUCUUCCUGCCUAAUUGUAGAACCUUACAUUUGUCCCUAUUGAAAUUCAUUUUGUUUGUUUGGGCCCAGUUCUCUAAUCUGUUAACGUCAUUUUGAAUCCUAAUUCUGUCUUCUUCAGCAUUAGCUACCUUUCCCAGUUUGGUGUCAUCUGCAAAUUGAAUGAGCAUCCCCUCAAUUACUUCAUCCAAGUCAUUUGUAAAGAUGUUGAAUAAUAAAGGGCCCAGGGACCACUUUUAAAAUUUGUGCCAUCUAAACUCAAAACCAUCUAAAAUUUCACUAAACCACUAUAUAAUACAAUGUCUUUCAUUUAUUUUUACUGCCGUAAUCUUAUAACUUGAAUCCUUAUAUUUUAAUAAAUCUGAAAUUGUAUAAAUAACUAAAAAUAACAUCAAAUGUCCAGUAACUAAUUUAUUAGAGAAUUUAACAAAAACGUCCCUAUAUUGAAUACCUAUAUAUAUUUCCCAAACAAUUGGGAAAAUACUAAGAUUUUGAUAAGGUUUCUUUUAGUCUAUUUAUUUUAUAAAUUUCUGCAAAGUUUCCAGUUUGUUUUCUGGAUAUAUUUCCAAAAAAUGAAUUUUUGGAAAGGUUUCAACUCUAAUGCAUUUUGAAUCUGAUUUUCCUUGUUCUUUUACCUCAGUGCUGUCUGCAAAUUCAUGUUCAAUCGAUAUUGUAGCUAAGCCAACAUGCCUUUCCUGAGACAUCGAAGAACAUAUGUACAAUUUAAUUAACUUUGGUUUGGGGAAAUGUUCUACACCACUGGCAACAGAAACAGGGUCAAGAGAAAGCAACGAACGAUAAACGCAUUGGGUAUACUGUCAGCCAAGUUAUUUUUGCAUAUAAAUGUCAGUACCUCUUGUGGUAGUGCAUUGUUCAAAAGUUGUCUGCCAAAAACUUUUAAUUCAUUACAUAAUUCAGAAGCGUCAAUGUCUUUGGCAUCCCUGUGUAGUAAAACUUGCUCUAGAUUUACACAGUGUUCCAUAAUUUGGGUUGAUGUACUUUUCUGUAAACUAUGAAAAUUAUAGAAGAAGCCAAACACGGAACUGAUUUUAUGCAUCUGUGUGAACCUUUCAUCAAGGGGUUGUACUGCGGUGUCAAGGAUUGCAAAAUAAAAUAUUAUUUUGAUUUUUUCCCCUUUAUGGAUUCUGGAUACCAUAUGGUAUUUUUGGGUGUUUGUGGGCUCAGGGCUGAGGGGAAUAAAUAUGUGGUAAAAAAGCAAGCAAGCAGGACAACCACUCCUCCCGUACCCUAUUCCUGACUAAAAAUAUUCAUGCACCCUGUCAGAUGCACAGUGUCUUCACCCCUGGUUCUGCUAAGUUCUUAAAGUGAUGAUUCACUGUUAGUUCUCUCUCAGCUUAGAAAAAUAUCACAGGACAGGCACCAACUCUUUUUCAGGACCCCUCAGGUUCCUCAUCUUCCCUUCCUGAAUCCUCCUCUUAAUUUCUAGCAGCUGCAGGCACACUACAAGCUCAGAGACUCCCAGACCAAUAGCUUUGAGGCCCAAAAGACUGAACUCGGCAAAAUGAAGGAUGCUGAGAUAUAAGUUUGUAUUCUGAACCUGUUCCAGUGCUACCAGGCCUACUAAACUUUCAUUAGAUCUACUGAAAUAUGUGGUGAUCUUCUGAUUGCUGGAAAAAUACCUUCAAGUAAGACAAAUCUACUGAUAUUUGGCUUUACAUGAAUUUUAUUUAAAGAGUAUUCCACAACAAAGCAGCAAUAAACUCUACACAAGUUGCUCCUCCAGCCAGUCAACUAAAGCUAAACCAGAGUCAAAUUGGUAUUUGUGUUGAGUGUACUGCUAAAUAAGCAAGAUGGCGCACUCAGCUCCCUCUACCACGAUAUUUUGUGUUCUCUGCAGAAUCCAAGUUUUCAACCAAUAAAGCUUUUUUCAGAGGAUUCAUAGGUGGUCUGCUUUAGACUCAGCCCAGGCCUAUGACUGGCCCAGCCAUUCUGAAGGGCCUGACUACUGAAGAAAGCCCAGAGGUAUUAGUGAAUCAAUAAUAGUUCUCUGGACUGGAACACAGAUGUGAGGGAGAUCUGGCUGUGGCAUCAGUCACCCCAUUGGUCUCCAUGGUUGAGUCAACUGAAUCUGGCUGUGCGGACUGGCUCACUAAUGGGCUUCCCUCAGCCCCUCAUACCCAGCUGAAGCUCUCUGGUUUUUGUCUUUUCCCUUCUGUUUUUCCCAUCUCUGAAAUGGCAACCACUGUAGGCAGCCACUUAGUUCCACUAGUGUUUAAACCGGCCCUAAAUGGAGCUUGGAGACUUCUGAUUGACUUUCCCCAUAUUUUUUGUGCUGCCACCCAGCUUCCAGUCUAUUUUAGUCUAUUUGAAACCACUGUGUGAAUGUAAUGUAAUAGCCAUGGCAAUAUCACCACUAGGCACAUUCACAACAGGAGUGCACUUUAACAACCCAAAACGUUUGUUUGUCCCAGCAAGCUGCCCAUCAAACUCUGGGUGAUAAGAGUGAGGCUCUCAGUGUAACCCAGGCACAAGGAAUGGCUGCCUUAUUUGAGGGGAUGCUCACAUCAAAGGGAGGCCUUUACAAUGCGAGUACAGUAACAUUUGCAUGGCUGCACUUAAUCUGGCAGUUAUUUAUUGCUCUGGGUUAGAGAAAACCUUCGCACAGAAAGAAAUCAAGGCCUGAAGCUCAGUCUGUGCCAAAAUUCACAGAUGGCCCAUUUCUCAUACGAGGCAGCAGAUUUCCGAAGAACAAGAAACACCAUCUCCCUCACCCCCCACCCCGCCGCUGCCACCCUGUAAGGGACUGUGGUGGAAUUCAAGUGUUGUGCCCGCAAAGAUGGAGCACCUGCAAGAGUGAUGAGCAGGGUUUUCUCUAGUGGAAGCAAAGAGAAGAUUCUACUCAUGUGUAUUGACUGCAUUGAUCUUUCAUUUUACUGCCGUUACUGGGUUUUCAAAGGUGGCGUUUUGUCCUGGAUCUUAGGCAAGCCAAUAGUCAACCGAAAAUUUGCAGCUUUUUGUGGCAUUUUUGUUUUUUUAAAAAAGGUCAACAACUUUCGGGGCGUCUUGGUUUUUACUUUUUGAAAUAUGGCAACCCUAGUUUUGUAUUGUAAGCUGCCUUGUGAGAACUUUUUGUAAAAGGCACAGUUUAAAUCCAUAUAGAAAUAGGUUAGCCAAAUGCAUGCAGUUCAUGGAGUGUGUGUGUGUGUAUAUAUAUAUAUAUAUAUAUAUCUCCUCCCCUUUCCAUGGCCUUACACACUCACUCACGCAUGCACACACACUCACGAUCAAAGAUAGUCCCACUGCUGGCCACCAUCUGGAAAAAGAUCUAAACAGCUCUAUUCAUGAGUCUCUCAAAAUAAUGAGAUGUAGAAGACUAACAAGAGACACUGGUGGGCUAUCAGCUCCAGCUGCAAGAACUAAACAUCUCCCUGUGCUAUUUAACAUACUGGGUGGGGGUGGGAAAUUCAGUUUCUGCCGCUGCCCAAUCCCAAACUCUUUACAGUUAGACAAAUCUAAUAUUUUUCGUGUGUGUGUGUGUGUGUGUGUGUGAGUGAGUGAGAGAGAGAUGCAGCCUUUGGCAACCUGGUGCCAUCCAGAUGUUUUGCACUACAAACGGGAAAACAAAUUGGCGGAGGCUGCAUUAGUGGAACAGGGGAACAUAGAAAGAUGCUUUAUUUAUACCAAGUCAGACCACUGGUCCAUCGAGCUCAGUAUUAUCUGUGCUGACUGUCAGACCUCACUGGAGGUACCAGUGGUUGAACUCAGGUUCUUCUGCCUGCAAAGAAUGCAUUCUAUCACUGAGUUCUCAUCCUCCCCUGACUGAAAACUAGCAGGUGGAAUUAGCCACGAGCAUUUGGCAUUCUUUUCUUCCACAGGCAACUGCACACACCAGCCAACAUUUGGAAAUUCCAGAUGCUAUUAAAUCAAACACCAGAUGUCCUUGGAAGCUGUUCAGUAACUUCAUAGUUUGCUUCUUUUGCUGCCAGGGCAACUAUUUGGAGCCCCUCGAGUCACCUACGGCACCUGGUAGAGUACCUCAUCGUAAUAAAAUAUUACAGAUCUUCAACCAGCACAAUGGCCCUCUAGUAUUGGUACAGUUAAACUGCAUCAUAAUCACAGGGUUGUUUUCUUCUUCUUCUGGUUUUCCCAACAAGUGAUUAUGAUGAACUAGUUCUUGUCAUUCCACCCAACUCUAGUCUUUACAACAAGGGGAAAUUGGCCUUUCCCAGCGCUUGGACAUCUAAUUGUACACACAGGCAGCUGGUUGAGGUCAGGCCUGAUGGUGGCAACCAAAGCCAUCAGGAGCUCAGUGGUUGCUCCAUAAGGCUAGUUGGAGAUGAAUUGACACCUGUCCAGCACUCCUACCUUUCCCCUUCUCGCUCCCUGCAAGCCUCAUUAUAAGGCAAAACAAUUAGGACAACAUUGCACAAUUUGAGAUUUUAGAGUGUCCAACAUUUCAGAUCUUCUUGAUCAACACACGAGGACUUACUUGCAAUUAAACAGGCAUAGGAUAGUCCACUGCAAGUCUGCCUGUGUCAGAAAGACUAUACAGUGAUACCUCGGGUUAAGUACUUAAUUCGUUCCAGAGGUCCGUUCUUAACCUGAAACUGUUCUUAACCUGAAGCACCACUUUAGCUAAUGGGGCCUCCUACUGCCACCAUGCAGCCGGAGCACGAUUUCUGUUCUCAUCCUGAAGCAAAGUUCUUAACCCAAGGUAAUAUUUCUGGGUUAGCGGAGUCUGUAACCUGAAGCGUAUGUAACCUGAGGUACCACUGUACAUUUUGCUUGUUUGGGCAAUGAUAACACAACUAAGGGAUAGAAGGUGCUUUGUGAAGUCAUGGUAUACCAGUUGCAUGUCAACAGGCAGCUCACCCCCACAACGGCUUGCGAGGUUGUUCUUUUUCAUAUUCCUUGUACAAUAUGAGCUUUUUUCCUGGGGGUACUCAAGAGUAUGCAGUACUGGCACCUGUUUUCUAGAAGAAAGCACUGGUUAAAGGUGUGCCACCUACUGUAACAACCUUGUGUGAGCACCGGCACUUAUUUCUAAAAGAAAAGCACUGAGUAUAACAUGUUUUGAACCAAAGUUUGAUUUGCACUUCUGUACACACACAGGCCUACUGCAGUUCGUAUGUACUACAACCCACUGAAUUAGGAAUGAGAACCAUUGAAAUAAGUGGGAGUAGUUGGUAGUAGUUGGUAUUUGCGUGUUGUUGUAUGCAGUGGUGCAGCAAGGCAAGGCCACGGUGGGAUGUAAGGCAAGGUGGAACAAGGCAGAACAGGGUUCAGGCUGCAUUUGGGCAAAGUCAGGGUUUAGAGUAGAGGCAGGGUGAAGCUCAGGAUGUGCUGCAAAGAACACAGAGCUCUAGAGUUGCCCCAGCAAGGAUCAAGCUAGAAUUGAGCCCUUAUCUAGCAGUCAGGUGCAAUCUAAUUGCUAGCAGCUUGACUUCAAGAGCCCUAGCCUUCUCCAGUAACCUCCUACUGGGUCUUCUGUCGUGGAGUUUUUUGAGUCAGAAGAUGGCAGUACCACAUCCUCAAGCUGUGGGAAAGGGUGCACUAGUCUCACAGGUUCAUCAGACAGUGCUUCUGGGGUUGGUCCUGCAUGCCCUUUCCUCUUCUGGUUCAGAGUUCUUGCCCUCAUCUCCUGAAGAUAAGGAAUCUGACUCCAGGGUCACAACACAUAUAGAGUAGGAUUGAACGGCAUACCUUCACAACAUGUUUUUGUCGUUAUGGAGAGAGCAUAUUUUCCAGCAAAAAAAUUCAAUUCCACAUCCCCAUGUAGUAAUAAAAAUGUUCAGCAUAUUUUUUAAUAAAUAUACACCCUUUCUAACAUGAAAGUCAUAUGUGUAGAUUCUAUUCAGCGAUGAAUAAUGAGUUGGGUGGCAUCCUUCCAAAAAUACACAAGGACUUCUAGAACAGCUGUGAUCAAGAUGUUCAGAAAGCUUUUGUGUUUUUAUUUGCAUUGCCCUUAAAAAUGUGUUUACCAAAAUAUUUAGCAAGACUGACCUGCCAUUUAUCUUGCCUUUGUAAUAUUUUGUAUACAGUGUAUUCAAUUUCCUUCAAAUGAAAUGAGCCAUUUGACUAAGAUGACCUGAAAGAGAUCUGUCUAAUGUUUCACUUCAGCUGCAAUCUGGAUCCCAGCUAAACCCUCUUGAAGUCAACUGUCCUCAUCCACAAGGCUGUUCCAUUCUGCUUUCAAACAGAGGAAGAGCGCUGCUAUCUGCUGAAGGUUGCACUAUAUUGUCAUGAUACACUAGCAUAUAAUAAUCUUCCAGCUAACCAAGAAACAAUGCAAUGCCAUUGGCCCACUAAUAAAUCUAACAUACCGUUACCAACAGAUUGCUAUCAGCUUGAGAUAAAUGACAAUUAAUUGCCCUUGAUGUGAAAUCAAAUACUUAAAAACUUUGCUAAGGCUUCUUGAUCUGACCGUAGUACCGCAUCUCUGAUGAAACAUCCACAUCCAUUUGUAAUUUAUCUUGAAUAUGAACAGUGGCAGAGGCUGUGUGGCCCGACAAGAUCUAAGCAAGUGAGAACUUUACCACGUCUGUCAUGAAUUAAGCCUUUUAGAUGCACAGACUGAUGUUACAUUUGGAUUGCAGUGUCAGCCUCUUUGAAACCUGAUGUUUUGAUGCAGUAGGAGUAGGCUGGGUGGUCACUGGAUCUGACUGAUGAAUCUUCCCCCUCACUUAGUACUUAGUAGAAAGCCACAGAGAGAAAGGGGACAGUCUACUGGGGUGUGGGUGUGUAAAGCAAUAGCAUCUAUGUGGGCAUUUAACAUAAGAGUACUAUUUAAAAAAAAACAAAAAACAGCUUCAGCAGAGUCUGGUGGUAGAAGGAACUGUGGUGUUUUUCUAAACAUUGCUAUAUAUUCCUAUUAUCAUGAUACACUGAAAGCUUUUUGAAUUCCCCAGGGAUGGGGAACCUCCAGUUACUGAAGCAGCAAUGCUGAAGAAGUGUAUUCCAGUUGCUUUCGCUAUGAAGCAAUGUAUCAGAAGUUAAGUCUAAAAUCUGCCAAAAUCAAGUGAAACUGCCCACACCUGUUCACAUGCAAAGAAGAAUUUGCCUCAAGUGGUGGACUUUGGGCUUUAAAAUUUCAGCAGCAAAUGUAGCAAACUGGUAUGCUCUCCUGCCAAGACAAAGGUAGACAGUUUUCUUAAAGUGACAUUCUCUAUUUCACAACAGCAAAGAAUAAGUUGGCUAGGCCAAAUUGCAGCAGUGAAGAUGUGUAUUCUUCCUCAAUUUCUGUUUUUUCUUUCAGAUCCUGUAUCGACCAAUAACUAAGGGAGGUCUUGGUGCCCCAAAUCUUAAGUUGUAUUAAAACUAUUUCCAAUUAAAACAGUUGACACAUGUGAUUAAUAACUCAGCUUCAACUCUAUGGGUCAAAAUGGAACUGGAACCCUCACAACCCUCUCUUAAUGCCUUACCAUUCCUGAAAACUUCAUGGGCUCACGUUAGCAAAAGAAGUGCGUCCGUUCUUCAUGUGAUUGGCAUAAAUACAUAUUUUUGUUAUGUCCUGGUUUAACCCCCCCCCCUUUUCCUGACUUAUUAUGAUUUUUUGUUGUUCCCUUUAUUGUGAAAACUCUCUAUGUAACUUAUGCUUCUUCUCUCAUAACAAAACGGCAAUGGAGAUUUCUUUAAAAAGAAAAAAAGAAGAGAAUCCCACACUUGGAUAAGAGGUGACAGGUGGCCAAAAAUUGUCAAUAUCAACAAAGGGAUGGGAAGGGAGAAAUGCAAGGGGAAUGAACUGGACAGAAAAGAGUUCUCUCCUUGAGCAGCCCAAAGCCAUAUGGUAAUGAAAGAUGUGCCUGCCUCUGUCAACUGCAUUGACUACCGUGCUUUGCAUACAUACAAACCAGUUCUCAGGGCGGGCUGUUUGCAAAAGAAGAAGAAGAGGAACAGAUGCUGCAGCUUCUCCAAAGGCGGUAGAGUGCACUGCUCCAGUGAAUUGCCUGGAGCACGUUUCCCAAAGCCCUUGCUGGCAAUGCUGUGGCCCUGCAACACCUCUAAGAGAGAGGCUGUGAGGCUCUGUGCUGCCACUGAGCUCUUCACUUAAGUCCCAUCUGUUGACCAGCUGUGAAAAAUGUCGGCUUGCAGUUAGAAUCUAUAUAUCUGUAUCUUCUAUCAGGUGGUCAUUAUGAGUGUCGUGAUGAGCUAGCAGAAUUCCUGCCAUUGGAUUAAGAGAAAACGAGGACAAUCUUUUGCGGGGUUAUUGCAAAUAUAAGAAGAUGUCAAUGUUAAUAAUAAUAUGGGCUUGGGGGGGGGGAAGGGUGCUGUCCUCUUGCAUGGUUCUCAAAGCAUGUGGGGAAGUAUAAAGGAGAAUAAACAUUACAUUUACCUUUCAGGCUGUGAUUAUGGACUGAUAUAUGGCUGUAGCAAGUAUGAAACCUUGAUUAAGUCCAUCUUCUCUGCUUCCCUCUUUCCCCUGUUCCAUUUUUUUAAAUAAUAAUAAAUAAUAAUAAUAAUAAAUUUUAUUUGUACCCCACCCUCCCAAUCCAGAGCUGGGCUCAGAGCAGCUAACAUCAUUUCCCACAUCUAUUCCUGAAUCUGGCCAAAUCAGCCUUAUUUAUUUAUGUUGCCAAUGCAAUUCUGGGCUGCAUCAAUAGGAGUAUAGCAUCUAGAUCAAGGGAAGUAAUAGUGCCACUGUAUUCUGCUCUGGUCAGACCUCACCUGGAGUACUGUGUCCAGUUCUGGGCACCACAGUUCAAGAAGGACACUGACAAACUGGAGCGUGUCCAGAGGAGGGCAGCCAAAAUGGUCAAAGGCCUGGAAACAAUGCCUUAUGAGGAACGGCUAAGGGAGCUGGGCAUGUUUAGCCUGGAGAAGAGGAGGUUAAGGGGUGAUAUGAUAGCCAUGUUCAAAUAUAUAAAAGGAUGUCACAUAGAGGAGGGAGAAAGGUUGUUUUCUGCUGCUCCAGAGAAGCGGACACGGAGCAAUGGAUCCAAACUACAAGAAAGAAGAUUCCAACUAAACAUUAAGAAGAACUUCCUGACAGUAAGAGCUGUUCGACAGUGGAAUUUGCUGCCAAAGUGUGGUGGAGUCUCCUUCUUUGGAGGUCUUUAAGCAGAGGCUUGACAACCAUAUGUCAGGAGUGCUCUGAUGGUGUUUCCUGCUUGGCAGGGGGUUGGACUCGAUGGCCCUUGUGGUCUCUUCCAACUCUAUGAUUCUAUGAUUCUAUGACAUAGUCCUCCAGGUGAUGUGUAAAAGACGUAGAGACAUCAGAACCUGGUCCUUCACAAUCUUCACCACUCCUAUACCAGUGCAAUUUCUGUGUGGUGGUGGAAUAUGUCAUUGUUUCUAUUUAUAACUUCUGUCUUUACUGCCAGGACUAUGGGUGGGUUGGUGGGUGGGGCAUUUGAUUCAGUUCAUAUGCAAAGGUGAGCUUACCUAAGUUGCACUUGCAAAACGCAAACCUUUUAAAUUUGCACUUCUAUGAAUUUUGCGAGGCAGUUCUCCAGCCAAGUAAUGUCUACAAAAAUGCAGGGCUAGAAAAAGGUGGAUCAUCUGGUUCAAUUUUAAAGCCUCAGUACACUGCAGGAAGACCUAAUAUAUACUAUGCCACAUUUCCCACUGCUUACUUUAAUUCCUUGCAAAAUUUCACCACAGCAUUUUUAUGGGCACUUCCCAGCAACCUGUUUAUUGAGCAUUCAUCCCAAUCUGUUUGCAGGGUGAUUAGAUGACAUUUACUGUUGACAUUUACCAGGACGUGGGUGGUGCUGUAGGUUGAACUACAGAGCCUAGGGCUUGCCAGUCAGAAGGUCAGCGGUUCGAAUCCCUGUGACCGGGUGAGCUCCCGUUGCUCAGUCCCUGCACCUGCCCACCUAGAAGUUCGAAAGCACAUCAAAGUGCAAGUAGAUAAAUAUGUACCACUCUCUCGGGAAGGUAAAUGAUGUUUCCGUGCACUGCUCUGGUUAGCCAGAAGCAGCUUAGUCAUUCUGGCCACAUGACCCGGAAGCUGUACGCCGGCUCCCUCGGCCAAUAAAGCGAGAUGUGCGCCACAACCCCAGAGUCGUCCGUGACUGGACCUAAUGGUCAGGGGUCCCUUUACCCUUUACCUUACUGUUGAGCAAGCAUUCAUUCCGAUGCAUUUAUGGGGAUGUUAGACAACGUUGCAUCAAAGGAAAUGUUAUCCUACAGUUUCCAGGGCAUCUUCUUAUCACUUUCCUUACCACAAAAACUUUUAAUCUUUGGGAAAACUGGGUUCGUUGCGUAAGAUCUCCAAUCGACUCUAAUUGGCAACCUGAAUUUGCUAGUAUGUGAUUGAAUCCCACAGAAAACAGUGACUGUCUGGAAAUUACCCUACUGUGCUAUGCAGGGUGCUGGAAUGGGAGCAGCAACCCUAGUGGCAAUGAUGGACACCAACCCGGAUGGCUUUAAAAGAGGAUCAGACAGAUUCAUGGAGGACAAAGCAACUAACCCCAAUGGCUAUGUUCUACCUCCACUGCUGGAGGCAGUAUCCUUCUGAAUACUAGUUGCUGGAAACCUCAGGAGCAGAGAGUACAGUUGAGCUCAGAUCCUACCUGCCAUGGACAUUUGGUUGCCCCCUUUGAGAGCAGGAUGCUGGACUAGUUGGGCCUUUGAUCUGAUCUGGCAAGUUUCUUCUUAUGUUCUUAGUGUAUAUGUGUGGGGUGGGUGGGUUGGACAGAAUUUCCAGCGCUCUUAUUUUAUUUAUCUUUUUUUUCAUCUUCUUUAAAAUCCUUUGGUUACUGUUGUUCUUACAUUUUGUUUGUGUUUGAUCCUAGAUUUAUUUGCAUUAUGGGCUGGAUUGUAAAUCAGCAGUGUCACCAACUGUGACAGCUGGCAAGUAAACAACAAUUUCAAGUGCUCUCAUAAUUGCUGCCUCCCCCCCCCCUUCUUCUUUCAAAUUAGUAAUUCCAUUUUGCAAUCAACCUGUCAUUUAGCUGUUAGUGCUAAAUUCAAUUGCCAAAAAAUUAUCUGCUGGGAAUCCAAAUCUCUGUAUUACUGCAGUUUAUGGUUGUUAACGGUGUGAGAUAUUGCUAAUGGUGUUUAAUUAUCAGUAUUUCCAAAUAUGAGACUUAGAGAUCUCCUUGCCCCCAUAUAUGAGUUUUUCCAAUUGAAAUAGUUUUCAGAACAGUAAUAAAACGAUACUGCUUUGCAUGCACCUCCUUUCCAUGACUUCCUUGUGACCAGCUGCGUUCAAUCAGUUCAUCAUUUUGACAGUCUGAUAUAUAGUUGUGAAAAAUAUUAAACUGAAUACCAUCGCCCUGCCAGCAAAAAUAUGCAUAAGAUCAAGUAACAUAUGUUUGAGUCAAGUGCAGGCAUCAGAUGGUACCGAAUUCCACAAUAUAAAAACUGGUAGGCUGCAAUUCCAUGGUGGUGUUCCCUUCUCCCCCAAAAUUGAUACCCCAUUUCUCUUCUAGCUUUCCAGCAGAAUGCCAGUGUUACCCGGCCACCAUAUUGAGUAGACUUGGACUAGGCAGAUUUGAAUUCAAAUUCAAAUUCCUGCUGAGCCAUUAAGUUUGGGUCAAUCAUUACCUAACCUACAUUACUGGGUUGUUGUGAUGAUAAAAUGUAAGCCAUCUAGGGCUAUGUAAGUGGUCAUAACACUAAACUAAUGUGCUGACUGACCAUAACCCAGCAAAUUAGUUACAGUAUGUGCCAAGUGGAGAUCUUAUUUAUUUAUAGCAAAAUAAAUAAUAAAUAAUUGCCUCCACUCGUCAGCCAAAAAGGCCCUCAGAACAUCUCACAUGAGAUCUAUAAAAAGAAGACAGCCCUCACCCUCAGGUAUACAGCUUAAAAGACAUGACACAUAAGGAAAAAUAAAUGAGGUGGGAAAAGGAAGACAAGCAAAUUCAGUCUCCAAGUUACAUGGCAGUGCUUUAUAAUGUGUUACAAAGAACCUGCUGCCUUUAUGUAUACUGCUAGCCUCCUGAUUCCAUAAAUCUCUCAUAUUUCCUGGAGAAAUUGUGCACUGCAAUGCAAAAACUCAGGCAAGACAACUACAGCUGGUAUUUGAUUUUAAUUGAUUGAUGACAUACUCUCACUGGAUAUGCAUAUCAUAUGAUAAUGCCUCUCUUUACCUACCUGAUGUCUAAGUUUAAAGAGAGGAAGCGGCAUAACAUAAGUUUAGGAGCAGAUAUCUGCACAUGGUGCUUGCUCAGUACAUAAUUUUGCACUCAUCACCUAUGGCAGAACAUUUAGAUAUGAGUAGUGUGCACAACUUUGAGUUCCUCUCCCAGUAUUCUAGAAAAUGUAAACUCUUCCCCUUGAAACUGAAACAAUUGAUUUUGUCACCUGAAUACUACAUAUUGCUGUAUUCAACUGAUAGAUAAAAAAGAUAUUGCCACAUGCUUCCCAGUCUCUCAAGAAGGGAAAGGUCCCUACUAGGGCACCCGCUUCCCUUUAGAUGGGAGAAUCCUGGAUAUUUCCUAUGGUAUUCUUGUGAUAUUUGCUUUAUUUACAGAUAUAUAUACAAACAAAGCAUAAUGAUGUCAGAUUUCAAAGCAGGCACAGCCUGUAUCUGAUUACCAGAGAACAGCUGUGACAGCCCCUUCUAGCACACUGUUGACACAACAAAUGUACGAAGCUGUGGGUGACUGCCAUGGCCAUACACUGUUCCCUUGCCUCUCCCCUCUUCCCAUUGUGCACUGGCUCUGGCAUGAAAAGCUUGGUUUACAUUAAACCAGAGUUUCCCAUUACACUCAAACCAAGGAACUCUGGUUUAAUGAGCCUGACCUCUUCACUGACAUUAAGUUACAGUUCCCUGGUUUCGGAAUUUAGAAUCCCAAUGCUGAAACCAGCAUGUGACGGGAGGGAAGGAGGGACAUGAGAGGAGGGCAUGGCCACAGUGUUCAUCCACCACUUUGUAAACCAUGUUUUUUAUGUAUCGCAAUCUGAAUUGGAUUCACACUAGCAACUUCUGGCUACAAAGCUUCUUUUGUGCACCGUUCAUCAUGAACUUUGCAUGCUGUACUUGGACAACAGUAGACACAGGUUUCUUACUCCAGUAGCAACAUGUUUGUCUCAUUUGGAGAGAUGGCUUGUCUGUUAGUGGCUUUGUAAGUAAAAAUAAAAAUGCAGAUUUGUGAAGAGCAACACAUGUGUGUAAUAGACAAGUAGAUGUGUUUAUGCAUGUAUAAACGUCUAUUAUGCACUGUGGAGAAAUACUGUAUUUAUGUCUGUUUAUAUUUUGAAGAGGAAAUAUUUUAUGAUUGCGACUCUCAGCGGUCAAGGCCUUGUACAACAUGGCAAGCCUAGUUAGCAGUACAGAUAGGUGACAGGUUCUGAAAGGGGAGAGAAAGCAUGGAGAAAAUACCAUACUUUUUACAGCAUGCACUACAAACUCCUUGUGGUGCCUGUUUCAUGGGCACUGGGCCCAAACAUGUGUUGCCCAGAUCACUAUACUAAAGACAGAAGAAUAUAGCAGCUCCUUUAAAUGACACUGAAUAAAGGAAGGGCAGGAACUGUGACCCCCUCUCCUUUUUCUACAAUAGCUGCUCCCUACUUAUGGCAAUGGGUUGUCUGAAAUGGUUCACCACAAGCAGAAGCUUGCAAUUUUCAAAGGCAAGGGUUUGAGGGUGGCACUCAAAAUCGCAAAUUUGGAUUGUGGUGAAUGAGUGAGACCACAAGCAGGGGGAAAGCAGCUGUUACAAGCAGGGUGGUUGGCUGCACCAGCUCAGAAAGCACAAUCCUAUAUAUCUGCUGAGGAGGCCCAUGGAUUUCAGUGAGGCUUACUUCCACAUAAGUGGGAUUGCAACCUGAGUUUGCUAUGGAGAGUAGUAGUAGUUAACACAAUUGUCUGAAAUUCCCUAUGUCCAGUUUCUGGAUGUUAUAAACAAUUUCUAAAACUUAGGUAAAGGUAAAGGGGCCCCUGAUCAUUAGGUCCAGUCGUGACCGACUCAGGGUUGCGGCGCUCAUCUCGCUUUAUUGGCCGAGGGAGCCAGUGUACAGCUUCCGGGUCAUGUGGCCAGCAUGACUAAGCCACUUCUGGCAAACCAGAGCAGCACACGGAAACACCGUUUACCUUCCCACCUUUUUAUAUACUUGCACUUUGACGUGCUUUCAAACUGCUAGGUUGGCAGGAGCAGGGACCGAGCAAUGGGAGCUCACCCCAUCACGGGGAUUUGAACCGCCAACCUUCUGAUCGGCAAGUCCUAGGCUCUGUGGUUUAACCCACAGCGCCUUCUUCUAUUAAUUUCUACCCUUUCAUUCAGGAUGGAGACAGACGCUGCAUACUGUGAGUGGUCACAACAGAUUCUUCACUUACAGUGCCAAGCUGGCUUUGCAACUAGUGGUACAAACAAUCACACCAGCAAGCUGAAUACUGGAUGGGUAAGUGAGUCAGCCCUUAUUAUUGUGCUCCUCCUCUCAUGCUUCAGGUGAAUUGUGCGUCUUUUCAGAAGUUCAUACAUUUAUGUUUAUAGAGUGAAUCUCCUUCAUCCUACAGUUUUAAAGCUGUUCCAGCAAUUGGGUAAGAGGUGUAUCGGUGAUGUCAGUGGAACUAGCCAGUACGUGCCCAUCGCUGACAUAAUGCGAUCAACAUCAGGGAAACAAUCAGCUUUUGCUAAGUUCAACCAGAAAGCUUGCCAAAGCCCUGGCAAACUUAUUUGACCGAAGAUCACACCGGGAAAUAAAAGUGAUGCAUUUCUAUAGAACACGUCAAGGAUGCUGUCAGCCCACCUUAUGCUGCAUACACAGACCAUCCUGUACAAUCCUUCAUCUGUCUCCACUGCAGACAGGUUUGUCAGGUCCACUGCCAAGAUACUAUCCAUUCACUGGGCUACAAAUGCUGUUCUUCGCAAGUCCUGCUAUCAGUGAACACUGUUUAGGAAGUGCCAAUAUUAUAUGAGUGAAGCUCUGUACAGUACAAAUAAAUACCAAGCAAAAAGAACUAAGAUUCAAACACUGCUGAGGAAUGGCAUCUGCUUUGUAAAAGACAUCCAAAUGUUCUUAAGAAAUGUUCCCACUGCUCCUUUAAUCAGAGCGCAUUCCUCCAGCCAUCUGGGAUAUUCAUGCGAACCAUUCCAACGAAGCCAAAGUAGCGUUGUCAUUAUGAUGGCUCAGAAUUUCUUGUUUUUUAAUACCACCAAGGUUGGCUCCCUUUUUGUGCUUUCUUCACAAUGCUUCUGAACAGUUCCUCUGAUCUGUAUAAUGAAAAUGUCAGAUGAGGGAUUUGGGUCCUCCUUUUUGCAGGGUGCAAUAUAUGCUAUGUUAAGGCCUUUAGGAACACACAAAGAUAUUUUGGGUCAUUGUACUGAAAAUUGUAGCAACAUGUGCAAAUGGGUUGGGCUUUGGGGAAAGCUGGGUCUCUGGUUUUCUUCAAGGGCUGUGGUCAGAGCUUGAGUCAGCACCUGGCAUUUCUUGGGCAGCUAGUCUUGGCAACCUAGAAGCUUUCUCUUUCUCAUUUUCAUUCUUCCAUAUACUCCUGCAGUUCCUGGUUUGUGGACUUCAAGUGCAAGUAGAUGCAUCUUUCUACAUGUAUGAAUCCCAUAGACUUCUGCUUCUGAAGUCAGAUCAGGACAGAAUCUGACAUCAUAGCCGUUGCUUGCUGCCUUGUCCCUCCUCCUCUAUCUCCCAGUAAGGAGCAGCAAUGCAACCAACCAAAGGCCAGGUGGGCAGUGGCACUCCAGCAUACUGUCUGCUACUAUGGGCAGAAUUUUGUUGUUGUGCUUGUCCCUCUCCAUUCUUCCUGGCUUAAAAGAUGAAUCACACCUACCUGCCUGCCUGCCUGCUGUUCUCAUAUGUGAAUGUAGAACUUCACCUAGGAUGUCCUUGCAGAGCAAUCUGGGCAAAGAAAGCAACUGCAUACAAAUGUUCUGCAAGUAGAAACCAGGACAGAAACGAAAAAUUGUGCCCUGUGGAUUUCACAGAACCAUAGAGCUGGAGGAGGCCUUGUAGACCAUCUGCUCCAACCCUUUGCUCAGUACAAGGAAAUCCAGGGUACAAGAACCCCCAACAGAUGGCUGCCUGUCUCCACAAGGCUGGCCCAAGAAAUUUUGCUGCCCAAGGCAAAGGACAAAUUAGUGCCCUCCCUCCAUUCCAUGUACAAACACCUGCCCUCAGCAUCUGCUGCCUGAGGUGGCUUGCUACCUCACUCUGCCUAAUGGUAGGACUGAACCUCUGUCUGAGGACCUCUACUGAGGGAGAAUUAGUGUACCUUAAUGUACCUAUGACUCAUUGUGAAUCUAUGUGUGUUCUUCAGUUCAAACACAGACUAGAAGCAUGGAUAAAAAUCAAAAGCCUGAUAAAGAGGAAUAGCCUCCUGUAAACAGAGGUGUCUUUUUAUGCUCUGAGUUGUCCUGAAACUAGGUAGAACACUGGAGAAUGCCUGGUGGGAUUUCAAAGCAUGCUUGAGCCUGCCUCUGUAGCCAAGAAGAAUUCCAUUCCAAGGGGAACUGGGAGAGAUGGCGCUUUCCAAACUCUGAAUAACUUCUGAUUGAAUCACUUUGAAAAUGUAAAGAACAGUGGGAGUUAAAGAUUUCCCAGAAUGGGGAUUUAUGAAAAGCAGAAGUUUUUAGCGCAACGUUUACCGUAGAACUUCUCUUUUGUUCAGUAAACAGCUGAUGAACUUGACCUGGAUUUGAACAUCAGAUUUUGAAACCCCCUCUGUCUCACAAUAGAAUUUCCCAGCAUAAGAAAAUAUGAAACUGUGAGUUUAGCCUUUGUCCAUCAUAGGAACUGUAUCAACUUCAGACAUAAAAUCAUAAUUCUGAAGAAAGAGAUUGUGUGUGUGUGUGUGUGUGUGGUGCAAAAGUACUCACAGCACUGAAAAACAGCCAUUGGCUGCUUCUCAGAAGUUAUCAUUAAGCAGAAAAGGGAUUUUCAGGUGUGUGUUCAGUAUACACGCAAGAGAGCACCACAUAUACAAAAACCCUAGCAUAUUUACAUGUUAAACACCCAUCCAAAGCUGUCUUCAAUUUUGUGUUCUACUUCGGUUUAUUUAGUUUUGUGUUCCAGGUGUACAUUGGGAAAUAAAACACCUCGGAGCUUUAUGCAGGCACCACCAGCAUUAUCUUCCAUGUUUGUAUCUCCCAGGUUAUGUGGGAAGAACAAAAUGACAAAAUCCUUUGGCAAUAUCCAGUCCUUCCAUCUUUCAUCCAUGUUCCUUGGACCUUCUUGUCAUAUGUUUGGAAGGGCAUUUGCAAUUCAGUCAUGUGCCUGGAUCCUUUUAUAACCAUGAGGGUGCAGGCUGUGACCUUUAAAGCCCCAAACCAGUUUUCCCCAGCCUGGUGAUGCCCUCCAGAUAUUUAAUAUUUGAUCGCCAGCCAUGCUGGUUGGGGCUGAUUGGCGGGUACAAGGUUGGACAAGGCUGUCCUAAAAUGCUUGGGCAUCAUCUUCCGUAUGAAGCUGUUUAUGAAGCUGAGGCUCUUCUUGUAAUCCCACCUGUUUGAGAGGUGUUUGAGAGAUGAACCCCAGAGAGACAUGUCUGACCUCCUCUUCCCUUAUUUUUAAGCAAGCACUAAACAUAGUGUUGGUUUGUUUCUUUUCUUUGUGUUGUUUGACUAACUGCCUUUUUAUUAUAUCUUAAACUUGUGUUAUUGUUCUGUUGUUUUAUUUCGUUGUAUGGUAUCUGCUUUAGAUUCUGUUAUAAAAUCAAUAAACGCAUUAGCGUUCCUCUUUGAACUUGGUGUCCAGUGGUUAGAGUAUUUUGAAGGCCUUUGGCAUACAAUUGGAUACAGGUUGAUUUUAUUAUAAUUACAUCUAUGCUCUUGGCCUCUGACCACUGAACAACCAUGAGACUAUAAAGGCUUUAGAAGGAACUACAUCUCAGUGAAACUGUGGAAAGGAUUUUGCAGCUCUGCAUUCCUUCUAGGAUUAUCCAGCAGGAGAUAAAAACCACAUAAAAGGGCAUAUUUCUUUUAUAUAUGCUGAUAUAUGUAAAUGUAUUCCAAAUAAUAUUUUGCCCGUUAUAAUAUAUAACUCAUUUGAAGCUGAGCUAUAAAAAUCACCAUCCAGAUGGAACCAUAACCCUUAGUUCCUAGCAAAGUCUAUAGCAGGGAUGGGGAAUUUGUGGAGCUCCAACUCCUCAUCAAACCAUAAUGGCUCAUUGUCAGGGAUGAUAGGAGUUGUGGUCCAGCACACACUGGAGGACCAUAGACUCUCCAUCUUUGGCCUAGAGAGUCUUCCUUCUUGCUAUCACUAUGGAUUUUCCUCAGAAGAAGUUUAAAGACCUGUAACCAUGGAUCUGUAACCAUGAAUACAAGUUCUGAGCCUUCUGAAGAAAGAAUUUUCUUAGUUCUUGUCUUCACCCUGUGGAGACAUAUCCUGAUCAUCAUGAGAGAAACAAGAAAAAUGCUCAGUAUCUUAGAGACUAAUUAUUGCCAUUAAGCCAUGAUGUCUAAAAAGCCUCAUAAUAUUAUGCAGCUCCAUUAAAUAAUAAUAAUAAAUUACUUGAUUCCUCUGUGGCAGUUCUCGGAAGACUGCUUUGAAGAUUUACUUCUCACUUAAUUCAUGUCAUAGUAAAUGACAAAAAUAGCCAGCUACAUUGCUUUAUAUCAGCUCCCCACUUCUGUGAGUGUUUGGAAAUUCCCUGAGUCCAUUUCCUUGUUGGGAGCAGGAGCAGAGAGAGAGAGAGAGAAAGAGAGCAUUGCAAAGCUUUCAAGUUUUUGUAUCGCUAGAAAUAUACACUAGGAAUGGGUGGGUCAGCCUAUUUCCGUUCUGUGUCAGUUCUGCAUGUGCCUAUUGAUAUUUCUAUCCUGUUCUUUGCUGAUCUUUUUUCAAAGAACAAAAAAUGCAUGUACACAUUUUGUAUAUACAUGCAUUUUGUACACAUUCUUCAUUUACAAUUAAAGAUGGGGGAUUUUCUGAAUCCAUUUAAAGAAAAGAAAAAAAUGCUGUUAAAUUGGCCACUUUUCAUCCAGUUUGGGUGAGGCUUCUUCUUCUGGCAAGUUGCAAGCCUCAGACUUUCUGAGGAUGUGGAUAUGAUAGCAAGCAGAUUAUCAACGAUUAAAGCCAGGCCCAGCUCCAGGUUUUUAAGGGCCCUGGGCAGGAAGGACACGCUCAGUGCAGGUACCUGACAGCACCAUGAGGCUUUCCCAGUGGUGCCUUGGAUUCCACCUUAGUAGCCAGCAAACGUGGUGGUGAUGCUGAGCGGAUCACCAGUCCAGCGCAGCAUGCCUAUACUCAUCAGCAGUGUCCUCUGAAUUAUGCCAGGGCCAGAAUAAUUAUGACAAAAGCACCUGUGAGCACUUUAUUCAGUAUCACCACCAAUUGCCUUGCACCAGGUUGGGGUGCCUGGCAGCAGUGCUAUAGUUGGACAGCUGCUGGUGACUGAGUGGCACCAGUGCACUGGAAACAAGAAUGGCCUACUUAACAUGGCAGCGUUGGAAACAAAUCACAAGCUCAGUGUUAAAGAUCUCCAAAAUAGAUAAAUUACAUUGUCCCUGUAUUUAUUGGGGAAACUGAACAAUCCACAGAAGGAAGGCCUGGAGAAAGCACAAUUGUGUCUCACUGGGAAUGAGGAAACUACUGCCAUGAGUUGAGAGGCUUAGUGAGGGGAAGACUGCUCCUCAGACAUUGUGAGGGCCAAUCACAAUGGGAUCAGCAGCUACAGUUUUGCUGAGUGGGGGAAAGAUAAUGGGCAAGUCAUACUCUAAAAUGUUCACCUUUUCCUUCUGAUGUGGGCUUUUGUUUUGUUUUGUUUCUUGCGGCUCCUUUAAGUCCCCUUCUCUUUCCUAUUGACAUGGGGUUAUGUGUUGCUUGUCUCUCAGCCAGCAACAUCCAUUCCACCAGCAUGCAUGGAAAGGGAGUAAUUUCCUCAGCAGAGGAAACCUCUUUUAUUACUCGGUAGGCCUCUCUUGGUUCCGAUACUUCAGUUCUUCCUGGUUCACACAAUCGGCCAUUAGCUGCUGUUGACAGCGUCCCUCAACUGAGUCAACUAAAACAGUCAGGAGGGGAAGGAAGGGGAUCACUUGUCUUAAAUGCAAGUUGGCAGGUGACUAUCAGGCACAGAGUGCUACAGUAUAGUGCUAUAUCGGUUUACGAACAGCCCUGUUAACGAACUAUUCAGUUUACGAACUCCGCAAAACCAGAAGUAGGUGCUCUGGUUAGCAAACUUUACCUCAGUCUAUGAACAGAAGCCGAAUGGUGGAGGGGCUAUCAUACUCAACCUAUCAAGCAAGAUGAAAUGGUGUAUCUGAGAUAUCCAUGUCUGAAUCUAUCUAUAUAAUUGAAUGCUGCAGUUCUUCAGAAGUCACAAGCCUUUCAACUCUGCAUGUUAUUUUUUUCAGGGAUGGGAACUGACAACCAAAGCAAAAUGAAAUUGAAUAAAUUAUUUCUCCAAUUUCUAGAUUGUAGUUAAAACCAGAAGUGCUGAAGGGAUAAAGGAGACAGUAAGAGACCAAGUCUUGUGAAAUCCCUACAGGGAGUAGAAGAGACAGAAAGAAUCACCAGGGAGAGAGAUUUAUUUCAGCUGAGAUGCUUGCACCUUGAACAAAGCUUUUUAGUGUCACAAAUAGCUCCAUAGCAGAGGUGGGAACAUGGAUUGGUAAGCACAACACUGGUAGGGUCUUAUAGUCAUAUUUGCAGAAGAUCAGUGUAGUACAGGGGUUAUAGUGUUGGACAAAGGCCAGGAAGACCUAGGUUGAAAUCCCCACUCAGUCAUGAAUCUCACUGUGUAAUGUUGGGCCAGUGUCACUAUCUCAACCCAAGUUAACUGAUAAUAGUUGUUGUGGGUAUUAAAGGGAGGGAGGGAGAAUCAUGUGGACCACCUUGCAGAACAGACAAGACAAGGAUGCAAUCAAUAAUAAUGAGGAGGAGGAGGAGGAUACAACAUAGAAAUAUAAGGAGAGCCCUCCUGGAUGAGAUGAACUCCAGCAUCUUGUUUCCCACAGCGGCAAACCAGAUGCCUAUGAGAUGAGAGAUUGUUUCUUUAGCAUCUAUAAUUAGCACGGAGAGGGAUCUACUUCCCUUCAGGUCUGAAUGAACCUUCAAAGGGCCUCUGAACAUCAGCUGGUUCAAAUCAUUGUUUUCUUUCACACAGUGGAGGGAUCAAGGCUCUGUCAUUUUUGAACUAUGUUGCACUUCUUCUAGAGUGACUAUAUUCAGGUACAUUUCACCAUGUUGCUAUGGCAUCCUUUGCUCAAAGGAGGUCUUCUGGUGAUCCCAGAAUAAAGGGUGGGAGGUACCAACACCAAUUUGCUGGCAGUGUCUUCAGUGUGAGCACCAUUAGGGCAAACAAGCCAUAUGCAAGGCACAUCUGAUCUCUUGUACAUCUCCCAUUCAUUCCACUGAAGCUUUCAUGAGACAGAGGAGUGAAUAUUGCACAGAAUAACCAAGCUGCAUUAGCAAUGCAAAUAUGUUGCUGGUUUCAGGUUGGGUUUUAAUAACAAGGCUCUUAACACACCGUUGACAAGACAAUGCCAGCCAUUUCAGCACCAGGGAAUCCAUUAAAAUGGAAAUAAAACCGUUCUAUCGGAAGUGGUGGGGAGACGGAAAAUCCUGUGUUAUGUUUAGAAAUUACUAGUUAACUUAUGCUACCCUUGGAGCUAUGUAGGGACUAAGUAAAAUGUCCACCUUUGAGACUGUUGGAUGCUUUUCAGAUUAACAGCAUUAUUUCUUUCAAAAACACUGUCCAGAAUUAUCUUUGUUUUGCUUUCAGUUUAUUAAUUCUGCCCCAUCUUCUUGCCUGUUUCAUCCCCCUAGAACUCACUACUAUCUUUUUUUUUUUUUAAGAAUAUUUAUUCAAAUUUUAAGAUUACAAAAAAAGAAAAAAUAAAGCAAGAAAAACCAAUCACAUACAUCUUACAAAAGAAACACACCAUACAAGAAAAAAAAAGAAAAAAAUACACAAGACAAAAAGUCACAAUAACAAAUAACAAAAGAAGAAUUCAAAUUAAACAAACCGUUUUCCCAUUUACUUAUUUCCGUGACUUCCUCUCACUUCUCUGCUUUGUAUUCUAAUUCAAAUUGUAUCUCCAGCAAAUCCUUCUAACCUUCUUUUCAUUCACUUAUUUUAACAUUUUAACAUUCAAAAAUAUUUAAUUCUCCUCUAUCCUUUAGUUUACACUUCAUAUUUACUUAAUUCCAUUAUACUCUGUCUGCCAAUACGGUCUAAUAUUUCUUCUCCAACCUUUCCUAACAUUCUUUUUAUGUUACAGUGAUUCUGUAGAUAUGUUUUAAACUUUUUCCAAUCUUCUUCCAUCAACCCUUCUUCUUGAUCUCGGAUUCUUCCGGUCAUCUCAGCCAGUUCCAUAUAGUCUAUCACUUUUCUCUGCCAUUCUUCUCGGGUAGGCAAUUCUUGUGUCUAGAACUCACUACUAUCUACCCACUUAGCCUUCUUAUAUUUCAAAUGUUACCAAAACAAACCUAUGCGCAUAGUCAGUGCCCUUUGUCAGUGUGUGAAAAAAGCAUUGCAAUAAUCUCUGUCCUAGCACAAAACUUACCUACCUAGAUAAAGCAUUUAUCUAUCUAUGUUUGUUUUGACGAUAUGGGGCAACUGCUAUCAUGUCCCCAAGAUUGCUUCAGGCUCUUUGGCACUAUGGGGAGCUUUUGGCUGUCUUCUGUAACAUUUGCCUUCUUUAAGUUGCUUGAGUCAUCUGGGGUAGAGCAGUGUCGGGGUGUAUGUGUCAUAGGAAGUAGUCUGAGGUGAGCCAGGAGCCAUGAACCAGGGCUUAUGAGACAAGCCAGUAGGCAGGACUGGAGAAUAAACAGGGAUCUAAAAGGCAAACUUUUGGUCAAAGGCACAAUCAAGAAAAGCCGCUCCCCUUCCCCUGGGGGGCGGAGUUGCUGGAGGGUAUCUGGGACCUCCCUGUGACCCAGGAGUGGGCAGAGGGAUGCCGCCCACGUCAUCAGGACUCCCAGCCACAUCACACCCCCCAGCUGACCAAUCAGGUUAGCCAGGGGGCGUGACCACAUGCCGUUUAAACCGCGGCACUGCUAGAGGGGGUGGCCUCAUUUCGCCUCCUCUUCAUAAGCCUUGUUUAUGGGAGGGGAGGUUGUUGCCUCCGCCUGACCCUCCUCGCUAAGGGUAUCCCCUUAAAGGGAUCCAGGGUUGUGGAUCCUGUCCGAAGCCUGGGCGUGGGCUAGGACCAUGCCACGACCCCAUCGGGGACCCUGGGGGUGCUCUUAAUUGAUGUAUAUCAUAGGGCUCCCCCUACCCUUAAGAGACUUCCUGUGGACAUGCAGGAAUCAGGAUAUAGUCUGUUUUCACCCAAUGCCUAAGCCAAACCGCUCACACCUGUAACCAAUAAAGUUGUGGCCUAAUUUAUCCCAUUAACCCAAAAUAUUUGUGUCCGUGUGUUUAUUAUCUAAGGGAACUGCAGGGGCCCGGGGCCUUGUCACGCAAAGAGAGUCGAGGCCGAAGGACAAACCAGUAGGCAGUCUCAAGGAACAACACAGAAGUCAGGACCGAAGAACAGCCAAUGAUACAAGAAUACGC